Molecule: ribosomal RNA, 432 nt
Filed under: uncultured bacterium
Lineage: Bacteria
Description: partial 16S ribosomal RNA
Rfam family: Bacterial small subunit ribosomal RNA
Source: RNAcentral
AACGAACGCUGGCGGCAUGCCUAACACAUGCCAGUCGAACGAGACCUUCGGGUCUAGUGGCGCACGGGUGCGUAACGCGUGGGAACCUGCCCUUAGGUUCGGAAUAACUCCCCGAAAGGGGUGCUAAUACCGGAUAAUGUCUUCGGACCAAAGAUUUAUCGCCUUUGGAUGGGCCCGCGUUGGAUUAGCUAGUUGGUAGGGUAAAAGCCUACCAAGGCGACGAUCCAUAGCUGGUCUGAGAGGAUGAUCAGCCACACUGGGACUGAGACACGGCCCAGACUCCUACGGGAGGCAGCAGUGGGGAAUAUUGGACAAUGGGCGAAAGCCUGAUCCAGCAAUGCCGCGUGAGUGAUGAAGGCCUUAGGGUUGUAAAGCUCUUUUACCCGGGAUGAAAUGACAGUACCGGGAGAAUAAGCUCCGGCUAACUCCGUG